RNAcentral lists this ribosomal RNA (309 nucleotides) under uncultured bacterium. RNAcentral's name for it is "partial 16S ribosomal RNA". It matches the Rfam family "Bacterial small subunit ribosomal RNA", at positions 504 to 807 of the family's 1533-position model. The record is from RNAcentral.
AGAGACAGCAGUAGCCGCGGUAAUACAGAGGGUGCGAGCGUUAAUCGGAUUUACUGGGCGUAAAGCGUGCGUAGGCGGCUUCUUAAGUCGGAUGUGAAAUCCCUGAGCUUAACUUAGGAAUUGCAUUCGAUACUGGGAAGCUAGAGUAUGGGAGAGGAUGGUAGAAUUCCAGGUGUAGCGGUGAAAUGCGUAGAGAUCUGGAGGAAUACCGAUGGCGAAGGCAGCCAUCUGGCCUAAUACUGACGCUGAGGUACGAAAGCAUGGGGAGCAAACAGGAUUAGAGACCCGUGUAGUCCCUGUCUCUUAUAC